This 472-nucleotide ribosomal RNA is filed under the name uncultured bacterium. RNAcentral's name for it is "bacterial SSU rRNA". It matches the Rfam family "Bacterial small subunit ribosomal RNA", at positions 355 to 825 of the family's 1533-position model. The record is from RNAcentral.
UGGGGAAUAUUGGACAAUGGGCGAAAGCCUGAUCCAGCCAUGCCGCGUGUGUGAAGAAGGUCUUCGGAUUGUAAAGCACUUUAAGUUGGGAGGAAGGGCAGUAACCUAAUACGUUUCUGUCUUGACGUUACCGACAGAAUAAGCACCGGCUAACUCUGUGCCAGCAGCCGCGGUAAUACAGAGGGUGCAAGCGUUAAUCGGAAUUACUGGGCGUAAAGCGCGCGUAGGUGGUUUGUUAAGUUGGAUGUGAAAUCCCCGGGCUCAACCUGGGAACUGCAUUCAAAACUGACAAGCUAGAGUAUGGUAGAGGGUGGUGGAAUUUCCUGUGUAGCGGUGAAAUGCGUAGAUAUAGGAAGGAACACCAGUGGCGAAGGCGACCACCUGGACUGAUACUGACACUGAGGUGCGAAAGCGUGGGGAGCAAACAGGAUUAGAUACCCGUGUAGUCCCUGAGCGGGCUGGCAAGGCGCAU